Molecule: non-coding RNA, 8210 nt
Organism: Phalacrocorax carbo (great cormorant)
Lineage: Eukaryota; Metazoa; Chordata; Aves; Suliformes; Phalacrocoracidae
Source: RefSeq, a predicted model, not a curated record
AGCCCCGGCGCGUGCCUCCUCAGGAGCCCUCCCGGCGCUCGCCCCCGCCCGGCUGGGGGGGCCGGUCCCGGUGCCGGGCGGCUCCGCCGGGCGUCCCGCCCCUACCGCGGGGCGGCCUCGCCCCGGCCGCGGCACCGCUGCGGUCGCUUUGAAGCGGGGCGCGGCUGGAGCCUGUCCGUCUGUGCCCGGAGGGGCGGCGGCGCUGCGGCGGGCGAAGACUGCCAUCUUGUCCCUUGACCAUCUUGGGAAGAAGAGAGGCGAAUUUUACUUCUGGCCCUACAGGGCCAUGCAGAAUUAAAACCAGAUACUGGAAAGUCAUGGAGAAAGAUCUUGCCCUGAUGAAUAUUCAGGAAGAGCAGUUACUAAGCUAUGCUGGUUCCUGGGAUGCAAACACCUUUGCAUGUGGCCUUAUCCCUGGGAACUGCACGGGUCAGUGAACACUUGUCAGAUGUCUUUUGCUGGUAUCUUGGACAACCUCACAGUGGAAAACCCUGUUGUCAGAUUUCAAGAUUUGGAGAAGGCCAAAAGUUCACCUGUGAGUCCCUAAAUCAUCAUGGUGCCUCCUGCCAUUGCACCUUGAGCUGAGUUGCCAAUGAAGCUAUGUUGCUAUUAAUGAGACCUUCCCAGCUGUGGCUACCUCUUGAACGCCCCCUCACUGGGAAAAUCCCUGCAGAGGGUGAUUUGUGGUAAAGGUGCCGUACACCUGGUGGAUCUGGUAGUUGAAUCUCCACAAAUAAAGACAAAUCAGUUCCUUCUCCCAACAAUGGUCAGUCAGCUUCAGGGACGACAGUAAAGGGCUUGAAAACUGGCAUGUUGAAGGUUGGAGCAGAACAGAGAGAACUCCUGGAGUCUUUAAAUAUUAUGUGAAAAUGAAGUGAUGAAGUGGAGCAGAAGGAAUACUUUGACACUGAACACUUAUUCUCUGAUAAGUACAGCUGCAACCCACAUUGUACUGCAAAAAUUCCCAGAGAUGGAGGGUCAGAAAGCGUCAUGAGGGACAUCAGUGCUUACCUACAAUGAAGCAUGCUUUUUACUAACACAGCGUGUUACUCACAGGAUGGGGACUGUCUGUCAAAUGUGCAUAUGUUCUGGUAUCCCAGCUCAGCAGCUGAUAGCUGUACAGAAGCGAACUUGUGAAUUUUCAGAUUUAGACAGGGCUUUUAUAACAAGGCAGAGGGGGAGGGAGAAUUCAGAAACCAGAUCUGGCUGUGGGUUCUGCUGCUGCAGCUUUCCUGUGUGAUACUGGGGCACUCUCUUGCCCUUAAGUAUACAUCAAUCUUUUCCACUUGGAAAUGGAGAUUAUAAUACUGCUAUACCUCACAGGGGAAGAAUGAGAAUGCUUUGUUAUGUCCUGCAUGGAAAACACAUCAUUACUGUAGAAUAACUGCCUUUUAUUUGAUUAAUGUUAAGAACAGAUCUACAGUAAAACAGGUCAGUGUGCCUUUAUUUGCACUCAAGAAGCAAGUAAUCAUGCUUUGAUCUAACUGCCAGUUAGGUUGCUGAAUUGCUUAGAAGUGGACCUUGAUCCUUGGAGAUGCUGAUUGAGUGAAAUGCAUGCAUUCAGUUCCUAUUACUGAACUUUUUCUAAACUCAGUGUGGUCAGAAAUUCACAGAAGUUUACUUGCUCGUAUGCUGGAAAACAUACUAUUUGUCUGGUAUGUACUAAAACCACACACACACAAGUAAAGAAAGCAAUAUAUGUGUGCCAGGCAAGAAAUUAUAGGAAAGGUGCAGCCAUAGUGAAAACUGAGAACACCUGUACCUUCCUCAGUUGUUCCUGUUCCCAGAUGUAUGGAAUAAGCUUGGAUGCGUUUGGGGUGUUCUCUUUGAGACUGCUGGUGUGAUAGACACAUAAAUAAACAAAUUAGAGAACUCCCAGCACACCCACACAAGGAGUGUUAAUUGCAGUUGAAGAAAAUAUACGUAGUUGUUAAAAUGUAUGUUUUAGAAUAGUUCUUCUUAUGACAUAAAACUGGACUCGUUUAAAUGUGAAUACCUUAUGAAAGUUCAAAACCUGAUUUUUAGAACUCUCAGAAAGAAAAUUUCUCCUGACAGAAUUAAUCUGGAGAGAAUGACCAAGCAAGCAAUGGUCUGAAAAUAAAGAUUAGAGUAGUUAGUGUAUAGAAAUGUGGAAAUGUGUUUGUGCCAUAAAUCUUUUACCAAUUUGUAAUGUUAUUGGAAUAAUUGUUUAAAACUCAGUGCUUUAAAUCUUGACUGUGUACAAGGCACAAGUCAUUUUGCCUUUUUGUAGAAAGGGCACUUGAAAUGUAGAUGUGUAGAAAGAUGAGGAAAAAAUAGUGAGAGAACCUAAUACACAAUGAGUACAAAAUUCAAAACUGCAUUUGAAACAUUCCCAAUACAAUAUAAAAAUUUGCACUUUCAUAAUUGAUGAAUGACCUCUCCUUCCUUGCCCCAGAUUUUAGUAAUUUGCAACAAAAGAACAAAUCACUUCAAAUCAGCGAAGCCAACACAGCAGCUUCCAUAAAACCCUCUGCCAAACUGAUUAGAUUUGCAAUUCAUUCACUAAAGCCUGCCUGGUCAUGGCAGCAUCAUGCAAUGAAUCUUUUCAUUGAAUAAAACUGGAAUUGCAGAAGAAUUAAUUUUUUUUUGUAUGAAUACUUCUGUAGUGCUUGUUUAAACAUGAAACUCUUCCUGAUUAACUCAUGUGUGAGCAGUCUUAUUCUAGAAUUUUUAAAAAAAAUCUUCCUGUAAUCUUCCUGUUAGCUUAAUGUAGUUGUUUAAUAGUUAUUUAAUAAUUGUUUAAUAAUUAAACAGAAGCAGUUAAUUGGAAAGUACUGCAUAUGUAGUCCCAGUCUUUUUCCUUUGGUGGAUGUAAAAGGUUAGUGGUUGGAUAAAGAAGUGGUAUUUUUAAAAAUUCUUGCUUGGGUAACAGAUUUUCUUAUUUUAUUGUUUUCUUAAUUUGUUAAUUUGUUGGACUAAAUGAGAAAGUGAAAGUAUAUGAUAGUUUUUGCAUGUAAAAUAGCAGUACAGGCAGAUUGGCAUGAAGGUAGAAGAAUCUUUUGUUUCUCUACAAUAACUUAUGAAGCUCCAGAAACUAAAGGUUGCAUUGCUCAGCAGGGAGCUUAUGUGAACUACAGUGUGUCCUCAGCCUCCACAUAACUGCUAUUCACAUCCAGGCAAAGCAGGAAGAGAGAACAAACUUAAUUUCAUUCAGACAGUAGCGCAAAUCCUGGGCAGACUGGACCUUUACAGACUUUAUUUAGGACUUUUUUUUUACAGCCUUUGCAUAAUUAACAUUUUCAUCAUUGUUAGUGAGCGUGUUAGCAAGUGAGACUUAAUAUAACAAAAGAUUGGAUUUGUUCACUAUGGAUUGAUUUAAAAGACUAAUUAAAACUAUAUAUUGUCCAGAAAAAAAUAUUUUUAAAUGGUGAUCCAAACAAAGUAUAAGAGAUGACUGUGGUCUCAGUUCUACCUUGUCCAAUUUGUUCUUCAGGAAUAAGGAUGUUAAUCUACAGAGAAAAGUGAAUACAUUUGUUAGAUUUAUUUUUAUUUAAAAAAGAAAAAUACUUCUAUUAGCAAAGAAGAAGUAAAGAAAGUAGAGGAGGCAUCUUUCUGAGGCAGCUAGAUUUAGACCUUAACCAGAGAAGCAGCCUCUGCUGGCUCUGUCUGCAGUGGUCUGAAAGCCAUGUUUAAACAUGUCUUCAACACAGGUCCUGUUGAAUCAGUGGCAGACAUGGUUUGGUUGGCACAUGUGAUUGCAGUGGCCAUAGUACCAAAAUCAUAGCAUUUUUAUAGAUGGUGAUGCCAAAAAACUUAUAUCUAUUUAAAAAUAAUAAAGUCACAUUUCUUUGCAUGAUUCUUGUCACUGGAAAACUCUGUGCAAACUGAGCUUGGCUUUACCUCCUCCAUGGAAGCCAAACAGCCAGCUGGCUGCCCUCACAGCUGGGUGUGAUCCAUGACCUGAUGGGGGGAACAGGUGUAACAAGUGUGGUAAUGACCAAGCAGCUGCUUCCACUAGUUUGCUGCAAGGGGAGUUGGGGGUCUUGGUUGCUCUGUACUGUAAGCUAGAUAAGCUAGACAGUGACUUAGAAACCAAAUUCCUCAAAUGACUGUAAUUGCUGGUCUUGUGCUUUGCAGACUCUGUCCCAGGGCCAGGUCCUGUCUGUCCAGCACCCGGUGCAGCUCUUGGAGUUAAUUGCUAUCAAAGUUGUGUUGACUUGUGCUUUGGGUGAUGGCCAAGACUCUUUAGUCAGAAUCUGUGUAAGCGAGGAGAACAAAAGCAUUUUGUCCUGAACGAUGAUUAUUUUUGGCUCUUGAUGGAAUUAAAAUGUGUCCCAUGAAAGUUCAUCUUGCUUCUCGAGUUCCUGGGGAGAAUCUCCAGGGAGAUCCUAUGAAUAUCUUGCUUGUAAACCUCUCUCUUCCUCCCCAACUCCCUGCCAGCACCUACCCAAGAAAUACCUUGCUUAUAUUUUAAUCUCCUCUGCUAGCCUAUGAGCAAUGGUUGGCUGCUUUGGCCCAAAUUGGCUGGAAGAGGUACACACAGGCAGACAUUGAGGGAGAGUUGGCUAUAAUUGCCCAAAAGUUUGCAUCUGUUAUCGGAUUAUGUCUCUCUGCCCUGGUGAAAAAUGGUACAAGACAAGGAAGGUUUCAUGUACAGGACAAUGUUGUAGGUCGAGCAACAUGCAUAGUACAGACAGGUCUGGGACGCAGUUAGUGUUACAAGUUUCACCCAUGGUGAAGUAAGAGAUUUGGAGAUACAUAUGUUUGGCUGAAAGAGCCACAAAAGGGGGCUGCGAAGAGGCCUAUUUAGGUUUGAUAUUAGGAAAAACUUCUUCACUGAAAGGGUUAUCAAGCAUUGGAACAGGCUGCCCAGGGAGGUGGUGGAGUCUCCAUCCCUGGAGGUAUUUAAAAGAAGGGUAGAUGUGGUGCUUGAGGAUAUGGUUUAGUGGUGGACUUGGGAGUGAUAGAUUAGCAGUUGGACUUGAUGAUCUUAAGGGUCUUUCCAACCUUAAUAAUUCUAUGAUUUUAUGAUUCUAUGAUGUGUAUAAUGAUCAUAGAGUCAUAGAAUGUCCUGAGUUGGAAGGGACUGACAAAGAUCGUUGAGUCCAGCUCCUGUCCCUGCACAAAACAACCCCAAAAUUCACACCAUGUCUCCAAGGGCAUUGUCUAAGUGCUUCUUGAAUAUCAUCAGGCUGGGUGCUGUGACUACCUCCCUGGAGAGUCUGUUCCAGUGCUCCACCACCCUCUGGGUGAAGAACUUUUUCCUAGUAUCCAGCCUAAACCUCCCCUGCACAUCUUCCUGCCAUUCCCUUGGGUCCUGUCAUUGGUCACCAGAGAGCAGAGAUCAGUGCCUGCCCCUCCUCCUCCCCUUGUGAGUAAGGUGCAGACUGUGAUGAGGUCUCCCCUCAGUCUUCUCUUCUCUGGGCUGAACAAACCAAGUGACUUGAGCUGCUCAUCAUAUGGUUUCUCCUCUAAACCCUUCAACUUCAUGGCCUUCCUCUGGAGACUCUCUAGUGGCUACCAGGGCACACUGUUGGCUCAUGUUCAACUUGCCAUCAACCAGAACCCUCAGGUCCCUCUCUGCAGAGCUGGUCUCCAGCCUCCUGUUCUCCCGCCUGUAUGUACAUCCAGGGUUGCCAUGCCCCAGGUGUAAAAUCUGGCACUUGCCCUUGUUAAACUUAAAAUGGUUAGUAAUUGCCCAGCUCUCCAGUCUGUCCAGAUCCCUCUGCCGGACCUCUCUGCCCUCCAGAGUGUCAACAGCUCCUCCCAAUUUUGUGUCAUCAGCAAACUUAAUCAGUAUUCCUUCCAGUCCUGUGUCCAAGUCAUUUACAAAGAGAUUAAAGAGUACCAGCCCCAAGAUGGAUCCCCACAGAACCCCCCUAGUGACUGGCUGCCAGCCUGAUGUAACCCCAUUUACUAUGACGCUUUGAGCCCGACCCAUCAGCAAUUGCUCACCCACUCCAUUAUGUGUUUAUCCAGCUGUACGCUGGACGUUUUGUCCAGCUCUGCCAGAAGGGAAUCCUCUGGCUUUUGGACAGCCAUGAGGGCCAAGUACUCUACAGCCUAUGCAAAAAGGGGCAUACUGUAACAAAGCGGGGAGAGAAAGGCUUGCCCUGCCCUGAGCAUUUACAUCUGAUUAUAGCUCCAGUAUAAAACCAUGUCUAUCUGAAGUCAGAGCUCUGCAUAAAAGGUGCCAACAGUUCUUGGGACAAGGACAGUUUGAGAGUCAGGGAACUAAUGAUCCAUCUUAUUUGAUCUUUUGUCCUAACACAAAAGUGAACCUGUUCCUAAAUUUAACACACAUCUGUGGCUAUUCUGAAACUGCUGCAAAUUAAACAAGAGGAGUUCAACCUGCCAAACUUCAAUUGCUACUGAAAGUUCUAUAUACAGUUGCUAUCAUUGUUGAAAUAAAGACCAAAGAUACUGUACUCGUAAAGGGGUAAAUUAUGCUUACCAUCCAAUUUAUGUUCCUGGCUCUUCUACUUAAGUUUUUCUGUUCAGCCAUUUACUGUAUCUCAGUUUAUCUAUCUGAAAAAAAAUUACUUAAGGGACAAAAUGGUUAAGUCAAAAAGCUUGACUGGAGAGCUCUGAGUUCCUUCAAUAAAAAAUAUUACAUGAUGGCAAGAAAGAAUACCAGUAUGGGUAAGCUAUGUAAUAUUGUAUGUGCUCAAAAUGAGGACUCAGAUGUUUAAACUUAGGCUGCCCUUACCGGGGUAAGUCUUACAUAGUGGUGUAUGUAACUAGUGAAUUAGAAUAUAAGCAUACAUUAAAAAAUGACUGCGGUUUUAUGCCUUAGUUAUCAGUAAUUUUGAAGGAACGUCCUUAAUUCCUUCCCCAGCAAUACAAACAAUGGGUGUUUAGCUGCCAUUUGUCACCAGCAUUUCUCUGAUCUCUGCCUAGCUACACUCAUAAAGUGCCUCCAAGUAUGUUUACAAAGAUGUUUACUCUCCAAACAGUUCAGGCUGGUCAUUCUGAAACUACUUAAGGAAUGUACCCGACAACUUGGGUGGAAGAAUAUCCUCUUGAUGUGUAAGUGGUCACAGUUUUCACCAAAAUUCUGAGUCUGGACUGAAGUAUUUAUUCCAACUUACAUUUUUAUUUAUGUAAUACUUUGUAAGUUAUGUAGAAAUAUUACGUUAAAGCCAUGAUAUUAAAUGUUAAAAACUCAGAGUCUUUAAACCUGGAAUAUCAUGUCAAAUUCUAAUUUGUCUACAGAGGUAAAAUAUUUUUACUUUGCAAGCCAGUAAAGAAUGGCAGAAUGAUGUCUAUAGUUGUUUUAGACAUCAAAGAGAAAAAAGAAAGUCGUAAGAACAUAGCAAUAUCUUCAUCUGGAACUGUAGUUAAUCUGAUUUAAAUAUAGCAACAAGUAAAAAAGCUGCAUCUUAGGAUUUUUUCUGAAAAGAUAGUAAAGAAAGAUUGAGACAUUCUUAAUUCAGUUAGUAAAUAAUACAAGUACGAUGAAUGCAGUUCUGUAUAAUUCAGAAUACCAAGUGUGUAAAUAUAAUUGCUUUAACAUUCUGGUUUCUAGACUGCUCGGAGCAAAACAUUUUGCUUACAUGGUAUUGAGCAGUCUGUCUUCCUUACUGCUGUAAGCACCUCUAUCUCCAGUGCUGCUUGUUCGCUAGUCCUAACAUAAUUUUUAAUAGCGAACCAAGAAAAGCCAUAGAGGAUAUACUUUUGAGAAUAGUCUGAUAGCCUGGCUGCAUAAAAAUUCAGCUUUACUGUAGCUGCUGAGAUGCAUCUGUUCAAUAAAUGCAAUAAAUUUAAAUAAUUUGGAGAACAUGCAGUUCUAAAAAUGGUAUGUGCAUUGUGUUCAGAAGAAACCAUCCACAAGGUUGAUCAGGGCUACUAAUACUUAAAAUUAGUUAUUAUUUCUGAACUGAAACAACUCUAUAGCUUUAGAACUUGCACAGUGAACCGAAUCUUCUUAUAUCACUUUUUCAUCUGGAAUUUUAUCAAUUAUAAAAUCAAGCCCAUUUUUUUUUUUUUUUUGAAAUGAAAUGGGAAGUGGAUGUUUACAUGUUUUAGCUUUUCAAGACCAUUUGAUGUGUUGCAUUAGAGCUGCACAGCUGAGUACCCACAAGUUGUGUAUUUCUUUGCGUAGUUUUUGUUCAUUUAAAUAAUAAAAGUUCAGAAAUGUAAAGCAUUAUGCCUUGCCUUCCUUUUAGGGAAAGCCUACAAUGUCUUGCCAAGCUCCAGCUUUUCCAUCCCACCUCUUCUAUUUUCCAGAAAUUAUUUUUUUCCCCUUU